Molecule: ribosomal RNA, 449 nt
Filed under: uncultured prokaryote
Description: bacterial SSU rRNA
Rfam family: Bacterial small subunit ribosomal RNA
Source: RNAcentral
UGGGGAAUAUUGGACAAUGGGGGCAACCCUGAUCCAGCAAUGCCGCGUGUGUGAAGAAGGCCUGCGGGUUGUAAAGCACUUUCAGUAGAGAAGAAAGGCUCAUGGUUAAUACCCGUGAGUCUUGACGUAACCUACAGAAGAAGCACCGGCUAACUCCGUGCCAGCAGCCGCGGUAAUACGGAGGGUGCGAGCGUUAAUCGGAAUUACUGGGCGUAAAGCGCGCGUAGGUGGUUCUGUAAGUCGGAUGUGAAAGCCCAGGGCUUAACCUUGGAACUGCAUUCGAUACUGCAGAACUAGAGUAUGGUAGAGGGAAGUGGAAUUUCCGGUGUAGCGGUGAAAUGCGUAGAUAUUGGGAAGAACACCAGUGGCGAAGGCGCUCUACUGGGCCGCAACUGACGCUGAGGGACGAAAGCUAGGGGAGCGAAAGGGAUUAGAUACCCCCGUAGUCC